Molecule: ribosomal RNA, 512 nt
Filed under: uncultured bacterium
Lineage: Bacteria
Description: partial 16S ribosomal RNA
Rfam family: Bacterial small subunit ribosomal RNA
Source: RNAcentral
GAUGAACGCUGGCGGCGUGCCUAAUACAUGCAAGUCGAACGAAACUUCUUUAUCACCGAGUGCUUGCACUCACCGAUAAAGAGUUGAGUGGCGAACGGGUGAGUAACACGUGGGCAACCUACCCAAAAGAGGGGGAUAACACUUGGAAACAGGUGCUAAUACCGCAUAACCAUAGUUACCGCAUGGUAACUAUGUAAAAGGUGGCUAUACUACCGCCUUUGGAUGGGCCCGCGGCGCAUUAGCUAGUUGGUAGGGUAAAGGCUUACCAAGGCAAUGAUGCGUAGCCGAAUUGAGAGGUUGAUCGGCCACAUUGGGACUGAGACACGGCCCAAACUCCUACGGGAGGCAGCAGUAGGGAAUCUUCCACAAUGGGCGAAAGCCUGAUGGAGCAACGCCGCGUGGGUGAAGAAGGUCUUCGGAUCGUAAAACCCUGUUGUUAGAGAAGAAAGUGCGUGAGAGUAACUGUUCACGUUUCGACGGUAUCUAACCAGAAAGCCACGGCUAACUACGUG